This 604-nucleotide long non-coding RNA is filed under the name Pan troglodytes (chimpanzee). RNAcentral describes it as "long non-coding RNA NONPTRT007372". Lineage: Eukaryota; Metazoa; Chordata; Mammalia; Primates; Hominidae. The record is from RNAcentral.
UCCAGAUCCGGGGUCAGCAACCUGCAGCGGGGGGCAGCCGCCUGCUUUUGUGAACGCAGCUUAUUGAAACACACCCAUGCCCAUUUGUUCACAGAUGUUCCGUGGCUGCGUGUGCCCUACAGCAGCACGGUUCAGUAGGCAGAGGCCACUUCUACUACCCGGCUAAGGAAAAGAUGGGCAGAGCCUGCUCUGGAUGACGCUGUGUUCCAGCCGGCGGAGAGGGUCCCCCAUUUCCUCGGAACUAAUCCUCCAGGAAAUUAACAGACAGUUUGCUGUGGACAACUAGAGCCCUCCCCUUCCUUAGCCCUGAGCGAGGUAAACAAUUCUGCUCUGCCUUCCGGAAGUUUCAAAUUAGCUCUUCAACCAGCGUUUUCACGCAGCUUCCAGUCCUGCCACAGUCUUGAAGAAGAGAUCAGCUUUCCCGUCUUCAUUCUUGCCAAGAUUAGCUGCCCUUCGAAUCUCCCGUGUGUCAUUAAUCCCAGCACGAACAAGCACUUGGGAACUGCGGGCUGCAGAUGGUCUGCUUAUCCUACGGAACCCUCCUCUUUUGAGGCUUAACCCCUUUAGUCUUUGUUGCUUCUGUAGCUUUCUGAUGCCAUUAAAG